GGUGGACACCUUCAUUCGGGUCCCCUAUGCGCCACAGGCUGCCCCCGAUCAGACUGGGCUGUAUCAGAUACCCUGAUUGGCGUUGGGAGAGUAUAUAAGCGGCUCAGUGAGACGCUUCUUUUGAGAGAGUCUGGAGCUUGUGUGCAGACACCGGGAGCUGGAAAGCUGUGAACAGAGGAACUGUCCGAAACCCAAGGAAGCUGUGGUUCAGCGGGAACGAGUCUGUGAUAUUAUUUUGUUGAUGUUACGUUGAAGCGCGCAGUCGCUGUGAAAAGAGUAUUUUUAUUUGAUCUGUCUGAAUAAAGCACACAAGCUCCAGUA
Non-coding RNA from Pimephales promelas (fathead minnow), 321 nucleotides. The record is from RefSeq and is a predicted model, not a curated record. NCBI's taxonomy places the organism in Eukaryota, Metazoa, Chordata, Actinopteri, Cypriniformes, Leuciscidae.